UUUAAUAUGGCAGAUUAGUGCAAUGAAUUUAAGUUUCGUAUAUAAAAAUUAAAAUUUUUUAUUAAAA
Molecule: transfer RNA, 67 nt
Filed under: Virgulibracon endoxylaphagus
Lineage: Eukaryota; Metazoa; Arthropoda; Insecta; Hymenoptera; Braconidae
Description: tRNA-Leu
Source: RNAcentral